ACCGAUUAAAUUCAGUUUUACUUCGAUUAAGUUACUCUUUGAUGAAAUAUCUUUCAUUUGAACCGAUUAAAAUGCGUUUUCGUUGCGUUUUGGUGCAGUUUGCGACGUGUUCUUGGGCGACGUUUUUAACCCUUUUUUGCCUACAUUUUUGGGCGUGCAGUCCUUCAUUUCCCUCCAUUGCUGUUUUAAUUUGCUAAAAAGGUUAGCUUCUUUGUUGAAAACUUUUAUUGUAUGUGUGUUAUUGUCUUUUGUGUAUGCAUGUUAUUGGCUUUUGCGUUUGCAUGUUUUUGGCUUUUAGGUAUGCAUGUGUUAUCGGCU
Molecule: long non-coding RNA, 318 nt
Filed under: Vigna radiata
Lineage: Eukaryota; Viridiplantae; Streptophyta; Magnoliopsida; Fabales; Fabaceae
Description: long non-coding RNA (VRAD_LNC005945)
Source: RNAcentral